GGGUUUAUAGAGUAAAUUUUUUUUAAAGUUGUAUAUCAAAUACCUGAAGUAUGAUACAAAUUUCUGCUGUAUUCUGUCUUACUUUGUCUGCAGCUAACGGUAAGACUAGACGUAUUUAUAUGAGCUUGACAAAUCUCAAAGAUUAAAGAAAUCGUGAAUGCUUAGUCAAAAACAAUAUUGUAACGAUGCCACAGCCGAAAUAUUCGCCAGACAUGGUUCCCUUUGACUUUUUCCUAUUUCUCAAAAAAAGAGAAAGAGAGAGAGAAAGGGCUGUGGUUUUACAAGCAUAGAUGACAUUAAAAACGCGUCGUUGAAAGAGCUAAAGCCAAAAAUCGAGUUUGAGAAGUGUUUCGCCGAUUUGUCAGAAGCGCUGUCGCAGACAAAUGCAACGAUUAAUUCACAAAGGUCUGACCUCACUCGCCGCAUAGCCGAAUAAACUACACGCACACACACACACAUAGACUAAGCUACAUUUCAUCAACGCAAUGUUAACUUGGUGAAUGGUAAAGUGAACGGAAAGUGCAACGGCAUACUCGUAUAAUGAACAGAAAAUUUGUGUGCGCGGCAAACGCCCACACGUCAAAAGGGAAGCGGAAACACCCUCCAGCACCAGCGAGAGCAGCACUGCUGGUAGCAAAAGCAAAAGCAACAAAGCAGCAAUAAUAUUAAUGAUAUUCUACAACAAUAACAUCAUAUAUAUGAGCUGAUCAUCAGACUCCCCCGCCCCUCUAUAAACUGAAUUGGUCAGCACGCAAACGAAUGCGCAGAGGCCUUUAAACAUUUGUUGGCAACAUUAAGGCGACAGCAUAAAAUGUCGGAGGAAACAUACGGAAAGUAUAGCAAGGUGAUUGCCAGAAGAAGAAGAAGAAUGCAACCCUUAAUAUAGCCAGUUGAGUGGAAAAUGUCGAAGCACAAUUUAUCAAA
Long non-coding RNA from Bactrocera tryoni, 924 nucleotides. RefSeq lists it as uncharacterized. The record is from RefSeq and is a predicted model, not a curated record. The transcript is spliced from 2 exons. Lineage: Eukaryota; Metazoa; Arthropoda; Insecta; Diptera; Tephritidae.